GAUGGAGGGAGAUGCCAAGGGAUCUGCAAGGGUUGGUGAUGCAUCUGUUAGAAAAGAUGUAGUUGGAAGUCAGCUUGGGUCCAAUACGCAGUUCAUGUAUGAAGGUUCUUUUGCACAAGGCUUAGACUAUGGAAACUCCCAAUUAUGAAUUUUAAAACAGUGGUUAGUCUUUUGCUGGUACAAGAUGCCAGGGUUUCUCUUCUUGCUGAUAUCUGUGUUAAACUGUCAACAACAUUGUUGGUACUUGUUUGAGAGGACUAGACGCCUAAAGGAUUCCAACUAAUUUCUGCAAAUAUAUUUGUUUGCUAUACUUUGAUUUUAAUUCUCUUCCGCUCUGUACAUACCAUUUGGUUUUGAAUGUCACUUGG
This 368-nucleotide unclassified non-coding RNA is filed under the name Hevea brasiliensis (rubber tree). Lineage: Eukaryota; Viridiplantae; Streptophyta; Magnoliopsida; Malpighiales; Euphorbiaceae. The record is from RNAcentral.